AUUGAACGCUGGCGGCAGGCUUAACACAUGCAAGUCGAGCGGAGAGAGGUAGCUUGCUACUGAUCUUAGCGGCGGACGGGUGAGUAAUGCUUAGGAAUCUGCCUAUUAGUGGGGGACAACAUUUCGAAAGGAAUGCUAAUACCGCAUACGUCCUACGGGAGAAAGCAGGGGAUCUUCGGACCUUGCGCUAAUAGAUGAGCCUAAGUCGGAUUAGCUAGUUGGUGGGGUAAAGGCCUACCAAGGCGACGAUCUGUAGCGGGUCUGAGAGGCUGAUCCGCCACACGGGGACUGAGACACGGCCCAGACGCCUACGGGAGGCAGCAGUGGGGGAUAUUAGACAAUGGGCGGAAGCCUGAGCCAGCCAUGCCGCGUGUGUGAAGAAGGCCUUAUGGUUGUAAAGCACUUUAAGCGAGGAGGAGGCUCUUUUGGUUAAUACCCAAGAUGAGUGGACGUUACUCGCAGAAUAAGCACCGGCUAACUCUGUGCCAGCAGCCGCCGUAA
This 501-nucleotide ribosomal RNA is filed under the name uncultured bacterium. Its description in RNAcentral is "partial 16S ribosomal RNA". It matches the Rfam family "Bacterial small subunit ribosomal RNA", at positions 30 to 523 of the family's 1533-position model. The record is from RNAcentral.